AUCUAGCUGAAAAGUCCCAAAUAGGACGAAAUGCACAUAAUGGAU
This 45-nucleotide non-coding RNA is filed under the name Trichobilharzia regenti. Lineage: Eukaryota; Metazoa; Platyhelminthes; Trematoda; Strigeidida; Schistosomatidae. The record is from RNAcentral.